Stegostoma tigrinum is the source of this 1743-nucleotide long non-coding RNA. RefSeq lists it as uncharacterized. The record is from RefSeq and is a predicted model, not a curated record. Lineage: Eukaryota; Metazoa; Chordata; Chondrichthyes; Orectolobiformes; Stegostomatidae. The transcript has 7 exons.
CUUUUGUGCUCCUGAGAAGCUGCUUGGCCUGCUGUGUUCAUCCAGCUCCACGCUUUGUUAUCUCGGAUUCUCCAGCAUUUACAGUUCCCAUUAUCUCUGAUACAAUUACUGAGGACACCUGAUCGGCAUAGUCCACAGCAGCCCAGAACUCCUCCCCUCAAGCAAUUCGAUAGCCUCAUAUACACCUGUAAUCCGGCAAUUCAGAGGCUGAAGCCUUGAGUCACUGGACCUGAAACGUUAACUCUGAUUUUCUCUUCACAGACGCUGCCAGACCUGCUGAGCGUUUCCAGCAACUUUUGUUCGGACUCCAUGAUGUCUGGAUUAAGAAGGAAAGAAGAAAGAAGAGUAAUCCACCUCAAGAGUUAUUCCCGCAGCUACGAAUAGGAGAAGGACUCGAGAGCCACUGCACCAAGAACGACUCCUGCAGCCAUCUCCAACCACCAGUGACCAAUCACAACCUGUAGACCCAACAACCUCCGAGAACCACUAACCCGAACAACACCGCAAGGCCUCUGACACAUCUUGCGAUGAAAACCCGCUUGCAAAACCCACCAAAAAAUAAGAAAACCAAAGUACUCACUUGACACAUUCGCAAUACAUCUUACAGCAUCAGCAGACUCAACCCAGAUUUGAAGGCCUACACCAUCCGAAGUCUUCAGUAAAGCACCGGCGACAGCAAGCGAGAACGGCCAGCUGUAAUUCACAAUGACUUUGUCCCCAGUGUUCUUUCAGCAGCGGGAGUCAAGAAGGAAACGCGAGGGCAACCUGGGAAUGUAAGCAUUUCGAUUAUAAAAAUCUUACCUCGCGUGACUCGGCCUUUCAGCAGCAGAGGGAGAGGCGAAAGUGAGGACCAGGGGGCUGCUGGGAAUAUAUUUGGGCAGUGACUGAACCCGAGACACUACGCGUGUAGUGUGUCCCACCCGCACUCCUCCUCUAACCGAGAAAAAGGACUCAGCGGUGUGUUGGUAAGUUACUGCCCAGCUACUCGAUCACUACAAGAAUGAAAUGCCCGACUGCCUCAGAGGUCAUCCUCCUCGAUCUCUGAGAAAAAGAGUGUUGAAGGCUUGAGAGAAAGGAACAGUAAGACUGUCGCCUGCACCCCUCACCAGCACAGAUACUGAUAGCUCAGUGGGAUUGCUUUCCUUCGGAAGUGUGAACAUGCAAUGCGUUGAGCACCCCAGGUAUCGGGGGCUGUGUUGAGAGACUGCUGCUGCAUGUGGAGGCAAGAUGAACAAGGAAUAUUUAGGGAUCCUGCUGUUGUCCCAGUCAAAUUGGUGGUUCUCCUUAUCCAUGUAAAUGGAGACAAGACAGCAGAACACAAUGGCCAGAGACUGCACUGAUGGUGUUACCCUGCAGGGUAAUGAAGUAUCUGCGAACUAACGGACUAGCUUGGCCAGCGAACCAACCAUAAUAUAAACCUAAUGUAGAAAAAUGUAGAGGAGGAUGCUCUCUCACUUUAAAUGCCACAAACCAGUUUAAAAAGGAGUCAGGAUAAGGAACCUCAAUCAGCCUACAAAACCAAGAAUCGAAAAUCGACAAUUCAACAGCCAAUGUCAAUGCUACCAGUAAAGUUAAAUAUGAUGACUAUAACCUUCAAUUACCUGCUGUUUGCAAACUUUUCAGAGACUGAUCUGUAUAUCCUUUGUUUUUACUUUUAUCUCCUUGAACUCUUUAUUUCUAAUCUCCAUAUAUUUGUGUUGUGCUGUGUGUAGAAAUUAAUAAACUUAUUUUUGUUAUUUCAAA